GAAUUCUGAUCUCCAUCAUUGCGUGUGCCGAAAAACAAAUGAAGAUUUAUACUGAAAUUCUGUUCCUUGUGUUAGUAGAUUUACUGCUUUUUGAUUUCAAGUGUCCUGCCUUCAAAUAACCUUGGACUGAUUUCGGGGGCACAGAAACGUGAACAGGAAGGGCCACCUGACUCGUUUCCAAUUAAAAGAUAUAUAUGUAUAAUGUCGCAACCGCUCUCGCCCCACUCCUCUGAGAAACUCCGUGAGUCAGCAGUUCUAGGAAGGCCAAUAACGGGGUGACUGAAAGCGAGAGUUUAAUGUACUUAAAUGGCGGACUAAACUUUAGCAUCCCUACCCGGUUUCUUUUUCUUUGAAAAAGACCACCUUUCUUUCUUGCAGGUGGAAUAAGAGGAUUACCUCCGUUGCAACGGAACCAUAUUUACGUAACAAUGUGGGACGGCAAUACUUACCAUGGAAUUAUCCGACCCAGGCCCAAUAUAUUUCCACCCUGCUUCCUGAACCCGAAUUCAGAGUUUGAAUUAUAUGUGUAUUAUAUACGAACGGAACAUCACAAUCAAUAUGCUUCACUUCUCUCUCAUAUGCCUCCAGUUCGCCCUAUAAUUCAUGAUCUUCAUUUUCCAAUGCAAUUUCUUAUAAAAAUAGGGAAUAGCCAAAUUUAUUCAGGAAAUAAUUUCGAAGUGUACAAUGUGAAUGAACAUAACCAUGCAUGUACAAGUACAAUCAACUAUGUAGAAGGCAAUUUACCAGAGUCCAACCAUGUAUACAUAGGAGUGCCACCCAAAGGAGUAUAUAGAUCAGUUUUACAUGAGUUGUAAUCAUGAUUAGAGUUCUGCGAUGGAUUAGCCUUGUAAUUGUCAACACGAUUGU
Molecule: RNA transcript, 867 nt
Organism: Belonocnema kinseyi
Lineage: Eukaryota; Metazoa; Arthropoda; Insecta; Hymenoptera; Cynipidae
Exons: 3
Source: RefSeq, a predicted model, not a curated record